Molecule: unclassified non-coding RNA, 334 nt
Filed under: soil metagenome
Description: partial contains 5.8S ribosomal RNA, internal transcribed spacer 2, and large subunit ribosomal RNA
Rfam family: 5.8S ribosomal RNA (bases 1-120)
Source: RNAcentral
GAUGAAGAACGCAGCGAAAUGCGAUAAGUAAUGUGAAUUGCAGAAUUCAGUGAAUCAUCGAAUCUUUGAACGCACAUUGCGCCCGCCAGUAUUCUGGCGAGCAUGCCUGUUCGAGCGUCAUUUCAACCAUCAAGCCCCAGGCUUGUGUUGGAGCCCUGCGGCUGCCGCAGCCUCCCAAAACCAGUGGCGGGCUCGCUAUCACACCGAGUGCAGUAGUUUACUCUUCGCUCAGGGCGUGUGGCGGGUGCUAGCCGUGAAACCCCCAACUUCUCAAGGUUGACCUCGGAUCAGGUAGGAAUACCCGCUGAACUUAAGCAUAACAAUAAGCGGAGGA